Long non-coding RNA from Scylla paramamosain (green mud crab), 505 nucleotides. RefSeq lists it as uncharacterized. The record is from RefSeq and is a predicted model, not a curated record. NCBI's taxonomy places the organism in Eukaryota, Metazoa, Arthropoda, Malacostraca, Decapoda, Portunidae. The transcript is spliced from 3 exons.
UCUCUCCUCGCCGUCUCCUCAGCCAUUCACCCUGCGCCCGCUGACGUGAUGUGACGGGUCUCCGGUUGUGUUGCAGCGGUGAGGUGGUGUUGCAUCUUUUCUCAGCGGGCGUGUUGUGGUGGAGUGCGGUGUGAAGGGAGAGGUGGAUAGGAGAUAAUUGGUGGGCUGUGUGUGGUGAGUGCCACAUUGUCUGUGAGGGACCCCCAGAGCCACACAGCACCAGCUGCAACAGCUACAGCAGCAGCAGCAACAGCAGCAGCAGCAGCAGGAGGAGGAGGAAAUGGCAUCCACCUUCUACCUCACCCAGUGUCACCGGGGCCUCCUCCUCCAGCAGCUGGCCAGGGUGCAGGGACAGGAUGAGCAAGCAGGUGGUGACAGAGAGGGUGGCCAGCUUGUCCUUCCCUCCUGCCACCCAGCCACAGCACUGGCAGUUGCUGCAGUGAGACUGCCCAGGCACAAGUUUGUGCACGUGUCCAGGACGUGAAGGUGAUGGGAACGUGUCCUG